Molecule: ribosomal RNA, 210 nt
Filed under: uncultured beta proteobacterium
Lineage: Bacteria; Pseudomonadati; Pseudomonadota; Betaproteobacteria
Description: partial 16S ribosomal RNA
Rfam family: Bacterial small subunit ribosomal RNA
Source: RNAcentral
GAGAGGACGAUCAGCCACACUGGAACUGAGACACGGUCCAGACUCCUACGGGAGGCAGCAGUGGGGAAUUUUGGACAAUGGGGGCAACCCUGAUCCAGCCAUUCCGCGUGAGUGAAGAAGGCCUUCGGGUUGUAAAGCUCUUUCGCAAGAGAAGAAAACUUGCUAUCUAAUAAAUAGUAAGUAUGACGGUAUCUUGACAAGAAGCACCGG